Non-coding RNA from Malus domestica (apple), 187 nucleotides. Lineage: Eukaryota; Viridiplantae; Streptophyta; Magnoliopsida; Rosales; Rosaceae. The record is from RefSeq and is a predicted model, not a curated record.
AUGCCUUUCUCGGCCUUUUGGCUAAGAUCAAGUGUAUCUGUUCGUAUCAGUUUAAUAUUUGAUACGUGGGCCAAUGGUCCACAAGAUAUUAUCGAUAAUAUCGAUAAUAUAGCGAUAUAUUAACGACAAUUAGAUGGAUAAGUGUGAAAAUAUCGUUCAUUCACAAAAACGAUAUUAUCGGCGAAAU